This 261-nucleotide unclassified non-coding RNA is filed under the name air metagenome. RNAcentral's name for it is "partial contains small subunit ribosomal RNA, internal transcribed spacer 1, and 5.8S ribosomal RNA". The stretch from base 1 to 46 matches the Rfam family "Eukaryotic small subunit ribosomal RNA", at positions 1786 to 1831 of the family's 1831-position model. The record is from RNAcentral.
AAGUCGUAACAAGGUCUCCGUUGGUGAACCAGCGGAGGGAUCAUUACGAAAGGAGUAUUCACGUACUCUCCAACCCUCUGUGAACUUACCUAUUGUCAGUUGCUUCGGCGGGAGGCCCCUGGGAGGGGCCCCGGGGCCCGGUCCUGAGCCGGGCUCCCGCCGGAGGAGCGCAACCAAAACUCUUGCUGUACCUCAGUGGCACCUCCGAGUAAAAAAACAAAAAACAAGUUAAAACUUUCAACAACGGAUCUCUUGGUUCUG